AUAUGGAUUUUUAUACUCAUACAAAAUGUGUUCUUCUCUUAAGUUCUGUUUGUACCCAGAAAGUCAGUCAUCUGAAAGUAUGACUUUCUAGCUGUAGCCUAGGGCACAUGGGCCUCUCUGGACAUUCCUCUUCUGUUUCCAUGGGCCAAAUAGGAGGCCAAGUUCAUUAUUUUUCACACGGGCCUGCUUCACGGACUCCAGACAGACACUGCUUUCGCUAUGUCCAAUUUUCUUUUCUAUCAUGACUCCCUUUUAUACACAGAAGUUGAUUGUGUCAAAUAGGUAAUGAAAGUAAAGACUGGGUCUUUCUGUUGGCUACACAAAAAUAUUCAAAAUAAUCCUAAUAGAAUUAACCACAAAACCAAAGCUCGUUAAGUUUUGAAGUUCCU
This 389-nucleotide long non-coding RNA is filed under the name Bos taurus (domestic cattle). RNAcentral's name for it is "long non-coding RNA NONBTAT018796". Lineage: Eukaryota; Metazoa; Chordata; Mammalia; Artiodactyla; Bovidae. The record is from RNAcentral.